AUUUAAAUAGCUUAUAGUAUAGAGCAUAAUAUUGAAAAUAUUAAGGAAAUUUAAUAAUUUUUAAAUA
Molecule: transfer RNA, 67 nt
Filed under: Bombus asiaticus
Lineage: Eukaryota; Metazoa; Arthropoda; Insecta; Hymenoptera; Apidae
Description: tRNA-Phe
Source: RNAcentral